AGAGCGAACGCUGGCGGCAGGCCUAACACAUGCAAGUCGAGCGCCCGUAGCAAUACGGGAGCGGCAGACGGGAUAGUAACACGUGGGAACGCGCCCUUCGGUUCGGAAUAACUCAGGGAAACUUGAGCUAAUACCGAAUACGCCCUUACGGGGAAAGAUUUAUUGCCGAAGGAACGGCCCGCGUCCGAUUAGCUAGUUGGUGAGGUAAUGGCUCACCAAGGCUACGAUCGGUAGCUGGUCUGAGAGGAUGACCGGCAUCACUGGGACUGAGACACGGCCCAGACUCCUACGGGAGGCAGCAGUGGGGAAUAUUGGACAAUGGGCGAAAGCCUGAUCCAGCCAUGCCGCGUGGAUGAUGAAGGCCUUAGGGUUGUAAAGUCCUUUUAACGGGAAGAUAAUGACGGUACCCGUAGAAUAAGCCCGGCUAACUUCGCGCCAGCAGCCGC
RNAcentral lists this ribosomal RNA (446 nucleotides) under uncultured bacterium. RNAcentral's name for it is "SSU rRNA". It matches the Rfam family "Bacterial small subunit ribosomal RNA", at positions 26 to 518 of the family's 1533-position model. The record is from RNAcentral.